AAGAGACAGCAGUAGCCGCGGUAAUACGUAGGGUGCGAGCGUUAAUCGGAAUUACUGGGCGUAAAGCGUGCGCAGGCGGACUGAUAAGUCAGGGGUGAAAUCCCAAGGCUCAACCUUGGAACUGCCUUUGAUACUGUUUGUCUUGAGUUCGAGAGAGGUAAGUGGAACUGCGAGUGUAGAGGUGAAAUUCGUAGAUAUUCGCAAGAACACCAGUGGCGAAGGCGGCUUACUGGCUCGAAACUGACGCUGAGGCGCGAAAGCGUGGGGAGCAAACAGGAUUAGAUACCCCUGUAGUCCCUGUCUCUUAUAC
This 310-nucleotide ribosomal RNA is filed under the name uncultured bacterium. RNAcentral describes it as "partial 16S ribosomal RNA". It matches the Rfam family "Bacterial small subunit ribosomal RNA", at positions 503 to 807 of the family's 1533-position model. The record is from RNAcentral.